This is a long non-coding RNA of Parus major (Great Tit), 665 nucleotides long. RefSeq lists it as uncharacterized. The transcript has 2 exons. The record is from RefSeq and is a predicted model, not a curated record. Lineage: Eukaryota; Metazoa; Chordata; Aves; Passeriformes; Paridae.
UCCCGGGAAAGCGGCCCCCUCUGGCAGCCGCCCCUUCCCGGGAAAGAGCGGCUGCUGGGGGCCGUGGCCCUGGCACGGGGAUGCCGGUUGCUCCCUCCCACGGCUUCCCCUUUUCUCAGAAAGCCUGGAAACCAAAGGUGAAAGAAGUGGGUGGAAACUCUGCGCUGCCGUCCAGGAAGAGAAGUGAGUAAGUCGGCUGCAAUAUUUAACAGCGCCUCCGGCCCCUUCGCCCGCAGAGCCGCCUCGACGGGAGCCGGACGGGAGUCGGAUGGAGACACAGCUGGCUGGAGCCAGGGGAAGCUGACUCGCACUGGCUGCUUGGCUCUGAGAACUGAAUUCCAUAGGCAUUAAAGCCUUCAAAAUGCCCUAUGGAUUCAGUUCUGCAGCUGGGCAGCAACUGAGCCUCAAACCUCCAGGAGGAGAAGGCAACUGUGAGCUCUUCCUACAAGGAAUAUGUAAAUCUUUACUCCUGCACAGAGACCAGAUUAGGGACAGAGGCAAGUCAUGGCCACCAUAAAAAUGUCUACUAUCAGAGAGCUACUAAAGGUUUGUGGCACAUCUUCCCCCAAGGGAAACAAAAGCCCAACUAUAGAAUGUUUUCUUCCCUCGGGAAGUGAAGUAGUACUUGAGAAAAUAAAUACAUUGCUACCUCUUGAUGUACUACA